Non-coding RNA from Plectropomus leopardus (leopard coralgrouper), 208 nucleotides. Lineage: Eukaryota; Metazoa; Chordata; Actinopteri; Perciformes; Serranidae. The record is from RefSeq and is a predicted model, not a curated record.
GGAGGAGGAGUGCAGGAGCUCAGGUGUGUCUCAGUGUCUCAGCAGCAGCAGCUCAGUCAGCAGCAGCAGCAGCUCUCUCAGUCGGAGGUGGAACGAUGUCAGCUGAUGACGCACAUUCACACUCUGCAGCAGUCCAAACAGACGCUCCAGGGGGAGAUCGAGUGUCUGAGAGGAGAGCUGGAGAGAACGACAACCAGGAGAGAGGAGG